UUGCUCCCGGAUGUUAGCGGCGGACGGGUGAGUAACACGUGGGUAACCUGCCUGUAAGACUGGGAUAACUCCGGGAAACCGGAGCUAAUACCGGAUAGUUCCUUGAACCGCAUGGUUCAAGGAUGAAAGACGGUUUCGGCUGUCACUUACAGAUGGACCCGCGGCGCAUUAGCUAGUUGGUGGGGUAAUGGCUCACCAAGGCAACGAUGCGUAGCCGACCUGAGAGGGUGAUCGGCCACACUGGGACUGAGACACGGCCCAGACUCCUACGGGAGGCAGCAGUAGGGAAUCUUCCGCAAUGGACGAAAGUCUGACGGAGCAACGCCGCGUGAGUGAUGAAGGUUUUCGGAUCGUAAAGCUCUGUUGUUAGGGAAGAACAAGUGCGAGAGUAACUGCUCGCACCUUGACGGUACCUAACCAGAAAGCCACGGCUAACUACGUGCCAGCAGCCGCGGUAAUACGUAGGUGGCAAGCGUUGUCCGGAAUUAUUGGGCGUAAAGGGCUCGCAGGCGGUUUCUUAAGUCUGAUGUGAAAGCCCCCGGCUCAACCGGGGAGGGUCAUUGGAAACUGGGAAACUUGAGUGCAGAAGAGGAGAGUGGAAUUCCACGUGUAGCGGUGAAAUGCGUAGAGAUGUGGAGGA
RNAcentral lists this ribosomal RNA (640 nucleotides) under Bacillus sp. 198(2013). Its description in RNAcentral is "bacterial SSU rRNA". It matches the Rfam family "Bacterial small subunit ribosomal RNA", at positions 79 to 705 of the family's 1533-position model. Lineage: Bacteria; Bacillati; Bacillota; Bacilli; Caryophanales; Bacillaceae. The record is from RNAcentral.